This 391-nucleotide unclassified non-coding RNA is filed under the name soil metagenome. Its description in RNAcentral is "partial contains 5.8S ribosomal RNA, internal transcribed spacer 2, and large subunit ribosomal RNA". The stretch from base 1 to 122 matches the Rfam family "5.8S ribosomal RNA", at positions 35 to 154 of the family's 154-position model. The record is from RNAcentral.
GAUGAAGAACGCAGCGAAAUGCGAUACUUGGUGUGAAUUGCAGAAUCCCGUGAACCAUCGAGUCUUCGAACGCAAGUUGCGCCCGAAGCCAUUAGGCCGAGGGCACGCCUGCCUGGGCGUCACACGUCGUUGCCCCCCCAUCUACUCCUUCGGGAUUGCGGGGGGCGGAUGAUGGCCUCCCGUGCGCCUCGUCGCGCGGUUGGCAUAAAUGCCAAGUCCUCGGCGACGCACGCCACGACAAUCGGUGGUUGCGAAACCUCGGUUGCCCGUCGUGUGCGGUCGUCGCGCAUCGAGGGCUCGAAAAAAUUGCCGGGCUCCGGCUCGGCUUUCAACGCGACCCCAGGUCAGGCGGGGUUACCCGCUGAAUUUAAGCAUAUCAAUAAGCGGAGGA